Molecule: ribosomal RNA, 403 nt
Filed under: Verrucomicrobiota bacterium
Lineage: Bacteria; Pseudomonadati; Verrucomicrobiota
Description: Verrucomicrobia bacterium partial 16S ribosomal RNA
Rfam family: Bacterial small subunit ribosomal RNA
Source: RNAcentral
UGGGGAAUAUUGCACAAUGGGCGCAAGCCUGAUGCAGCAACGCCGCGUGAACGAUGAAGGUCUUCGGAUCGUAAAGUUCUGUUGCAGGGGAAGAUAAUGACGGUACCCUGUGAGGAAGCCCCGGCUAACUACGUGCCAGCAGCCGCGGUAAUACGUAGGGGGCUAGCGUUAUCCGGAUUUACUGGGCGUAAAGGGUGCGUAGGUGGUCUUUCAAGUCGGUGGUUAAAGGCUACGGCUCAACCGUAGUUAGCCUCCGAAACUGGAAGACUUGAGUGCAGGAGAGGAAGGUGGAAUUCCCAGUGUAGCGGUGAAAUGCGUAGAUAUUGGGAGGAACACCAGUAGCGAAGGCGGCUUUCUGGACUGCAACUGACACUGAGGCACGAAAGCGUGGGUAGCAAACAGG